AGCUCGCAGCACAAGGCUUGGUCCUGACUUUACUAUCAACUCUAGCUAAACUUACACAUGCAAGUAUCCGCAUCCCCGUGAGAAUGCCCUACAGUUCCCUGCCCGGGAACAAGGAGCUGGUAUCAGGCACACUUCGACUAGCCCCAUGACACCUUGCUUAGCCACACCCCCAAGGGAACUCAGCAGUGAUAGACAUUAAGCCAUAAGUGAAAACUUGACUUAGUCAAAGCUAAGAGGGCCGGUAAAACUCGUGCCAGCCACCGCGGUUAUACGAGAGGCCCAAGUUGAUAGACAUCGGCGUAAAGCGUGGUUAAGAUUAAAGACAAUACUAAAGCCGAACACCUUCAGAGCUGUUAUACGCAUCCGAAGGUAAGAAGUUCAACCACGAAAGUGGCUUUAUAGCCCCUGAACCCACGAAAGCUACGAUACAAACUGGGAUUAGAUACCCCACUAUGCCUAGCCAUAAACAUUGGUAGCACACUACACCCACUACCCGCCUGGGAACUACGAGCAUCAGCUUGAAACCCAAAGGACUUGGCGGUGCUUUAGAUCCACCUAGAGGAGCCUGUUCUAGAACCGAUAACCCCCGUUCAACCUCACCUUUCCUUGUCUCUCCCGCCUAUAUACCGCCGUCGUCAGCUUACCCUGUGAAGGUUAAAUAGUAAGCAAAAUUGGUACAACCUAAAACGUCAGGUCGAGGUGUAGCGUAUGGGAAGGGAAGAAAUGGGCUACAUUUCCUAUUACAGGAAAUACGAAUGGUGUACUGAAACGUACGCCUGAAGGAGGAUUUAGCAGUAAGCAGGAAAUAGAGCGUCCCGCUGAAAUUGGCCCUGAAGCGCGCACACACCGCCCGUCACUCUCCCCAAGCCUACCAACUAAAAUAAUUAAAACCCUAUAAUCGCGAAGGGGAGGCAAGUCGUAACAUGGUAAGUGUACCGGAAGGUGCACUGAAAUCAGAGC
Molecule: non-coding RNA, 960 nt
Filed under: Perca fluviatilis (European perch)
Lineage: Eukaryota; Metazoa; Chordata; Actinopteri; Perciformes; Percidae
Description: partial 12S ribosomal RNA
Rfam family: Bacterial small subunit ribosomal RNA
Source: RNAcentral